This 681-nucleotide ribosomal RNA is filed under the name Salmonella enterica subsp. enterica serovar Infantis. RNAcentral describes it as "partial 23S ribosomal RNA". It matches the Rfam family "Bacterial large subunit ribosomal RNA", at positions 1 to 722 of the family's 2925-position model. The record is from RNAcentral. Lineage: Bacteria; Pseudomonadati; Pseudomonadota; Gammaproteobacteria; Enterobacterales; Enterobacteriaceae. RNAcentral also lists the same sequence under 4 other names.
GGUUAAGCGACUAAGCGUACACGGUGGAUGCCCUGGCAGUCAGAGGCGAUGAAGGGCGUGCUAAUCUGCGAUAAGCGCCGGUAAGGUGAUAUGAACCGUUAUAACCGGCGAUACCCGAAUGGGGAAACCCAGUGUGACUCGUCACACUAUCAUUAACUGAAUCCAUAGGUUAAUGAGGCGAACCGGGGGAACUGAAACAUCUAAGUACCCCGAGGAAAAGAAAUCAACCGAGAUUCCCCCAGUAGCGGCGAGCGAACGGGGAGGAGCCCAGAGCCUGAAUCAGCAUGUGUGUUAGUGGAAGCGUCUGGAAAGGCGCGCGAUACAGGGUGACAGCCCCGUACACAAAAGCGCAUGUGCUGUGAGCUCGAUGAGUAGGGCGGGACACGUGGUAUCCUGUCUGAAUAUGGGGGGACCAUCCUCCAAGGCUAAAUACUCCUGACUGACCGAUAGUGAACCAGUACCGUGAGGGAAAGGCGAAAAGAACCCCGGCGAGGGGAGUGAAAAAGAACCUGAAACCGUGUACGUACAAGCAGUGGGAGCACAGGUUUACCUGUGUGACUGCGUACCUUUUGUAUAAUGGGUCAGCGACUUAUAUUCUGUAGCAAGGUUAACCGAAUAGGGGAGCCGGAGGGAAACCGAGUCUUAAUUGGGCGUUAAGUUGCAGGGUAUAGACCCGAAACC